AGCAGCCGCGGUAAUUCCAGCUCCAAUAGCGUAUAUUAAAGUUGUUGCAGUUAAGAAGCUCGUAGUUGAAUUUCGGGAUUCUACCGUUGGUCGGGCUAUCCAGUCUGUACUAGCGUGUAGAAUUCCUACCUUCUGGGGAACCAUCAUGUUAUUAAUUUAGCGUGGUGGGAAACCAGGACCUUUACCUUGAAAAAAUUAGAGUGUUCAAAGCAGGCUUACGUCUGAAUACAUUAGCAUGGAAUAAUAGAAUAGGACGGUGGUCCUGUUUUGUUGGUUUCUGAAUCACCGUAAUGAUUAAUAGGGAUAGUUGGGGGCAUUAGUAUUCAAUUGUCAGAGGUGAAAUUCUUGGAUUUAUUGAAGACUAACUUCUGCGAAAGCAUUUGCCAAGGAUGUUUUCAUUAAUCAAGAACGAAAGUUAGGGGAUCGAAGACGAUCAGAUACCGUCGUAGUCUUAACCAUAAACUAUGCCGACUAGGGAUCGGACGAUGUUUAAUUUUAUUGACUCGUUCGGCGCCUUACG
Molecule: ribosomal RNA, 520 nt
Filed under: uncultured Scutellospora
Lineage: Eukaryota; Fungi; Glomeromycota; Glomeromycetes; Diversisporales; Gigasporaceae
Description: SSU rRNA
Rfam family: Eukaryotic small subunit ribosomal RNA
Source: RNAcentral